RNAcentral lists this ribosomal RNA (499 nucleotides) under uncultured bacterium. RNAcentral's name for it is "partial 16S ribosomal RNA". It matches the Rfam family "Bacterial small subunit ribosomal RNA", at positions 899 to 1397 of the family's 1533-position model. The record is from RNAcentral.
ACUCAAAUGAAUAGACGGGGACCCGCACAAGCAGUGGAGUAUGUGGUUUAAUUCGAAGCAACGCGAAGAACCUUACCAGGUCUUGACAUCCCUCUGAUCGAUGCAGAGAUGUAUCUUUCCUUCGGGACAGAGGAGACAGGUGGUGCAUGGUUGUCGUCAGCUCGUGUCGUGAGAUGUUGGGUUAAGUCCCGCAACGAGCGCAACCCUUAUAUUUAGUUGCCAGCACUUCGGGUGGGCACUCUAGAUAGACUGCCGGUGACAAACCGGAGGAAGGUGGGGAUGACGUCAAAUCAUCAUGCCCCUUAUGACCUGGGCUACACACGUACUACAAUGGCCGGUACAACGGGCUGCGAAAUCGCGAGAUGGAGCCAAUCCCAACAAAGCCGGUCUCAGUUCGGAUUGCAGGCUGCAACUCGCCUGCAUGAAGUCGGAAUUGCUAGUAAUCGCGGAUCAGCAUGCCGCGGUGAAUACGUUCCCGGGUCUUGUACACACCGCCCGU